CUCCAGACUCCUACGGGAGGCAGCAGUGGGGAAUAUUGCACAAUGGGCGCAAGCCUGAUGCAGCCAUGCCGCGUGUAUGAAGAAGGCCUUCGGGUUGUAAAGUACUUUCAGUCGGGAGGAAGGUGUCAAGGUUAAUAACCUUGGCAAUUGACGUUACCCGCAGAAGAAGCACCGGCUAACUCCGUGCCAGCAGCCGCGGUAAUACGGAGGGUGCAAGCGUUAAUCGGAAUUACUGGGCGUAAAGCGCACGCAGGCGGUCUGUCAAGUCGGAUGUGAAAUCCCCGGGCUCAACCUGGGAACUGCAUCUGAUACUGGCAAGCUUGAGUCUCGUAGAGGGGGGUAGAAUUCCAGGUGUAGCGGUGAAAUGCGUAGAGAUCUGGAGGAAUACCGGUGGCGAAGGCGGCCCCCUGGACGAAGGCUGACGCUCAGGUGCGAAAGCGUGGGGAGCAACCAGGAUUAGAUACCCUCGUA
This 471-nucleotide ribosomal RNA is filed under the name uncultured bacterium. RNAcentral's name for it is "bacterial SSU rRNA". It matches the Rfam family "Bacterial small subunit ribosomal RNA", at positions 329 to 792 of the family's 1533-position model. The record is from RNAcentral.